AACAAACGCUGGCGGCGUGCCUAACACAUGCAAGUCGUACGAGAAAGUCGGCUUCGGCCGAUGAGUACAGUGGCGCACGGGUGAGUAGCGCGUGGGUAAUCUGCCCCCCGGUCAGGAAUAACCCGCCGAAAGGCGGGCUAAUACCCGAUAACACUGACGCUCCGCGGAGCGUCUUUCAAAGAAGGCCUCUGUUUACAAGCUUUCGCCGGAGGAUGAGCCCGCGUACCAUUAGCUAGUUGGCAGGGUAAUGGCCUACCAAGGCUACGAUGGUUAGCUGGUCUGAGAGGAUGGCCAGCCACACUGGAACUGAGACACGGUCCAGACUCCUACGGGAGGCAGCAGUGAGGAAUCUUGCGCAAUGGGGGAAACCCUGACGCAGCAACGCCGCGUGAGUGAGGAAGGCCUUCGGUCGUAAGACUCUAUCAGCAGGGAAGGAAGAAUGACGGUACCUCGACUAAGAAGACCCCGGCCGUAACUACCGUGCCACGCAGCCGCGGUAACGAUACUCGUAC
This 512-nucleotide ribosomal RNA is filed under the name uncultured bacterium. RNAcentral's name for it is "bacterial SSU rRNA". It matches the Rfam family "Bacterial small subunit ribosomal RNA", at positions 29 to 535 of the family's 1533-position model. The record is from RNAcentral.